Molecule: ribosomal RNA, 746 nt
Filed under: uncultured bacterium
Lineage: Bacteria
Description: bacterial SSU rRNA
Rfam family: Bacterial small subunit ribosomal RNA
Source: RNAcentral
ACGCUGGCGGCAGGCCUAACACAUGCAAGUCGAGCGGUAGAGAGAAGCUUGCUUCUCUUGAGAGCGGCGGACGGGUGAGUAAUGCCUAGGAAUCUGCCUGGUAGUGGGGGAUAACGUUCGGAAACGGACGCUAAUACCGCAUACGUCCUACGGGAGAAAGCAGGGGACCUUCGGGCCUUGCGCUAUCAGAUGAGCCUAGGUCGGAUUAGCUAGUUGGUGGGGUAAUGGCUCACCAAGGCGACGAUCCGUAACUGGUCUGAGAGGAUGAUCAGUCACACUGGAACUGAGACACGGUCCAGACUCCUACGGGAGGCAGCAGUGGGGAAUAUUGGACAAUGGGCGAAAGCCUGAUCCAGCCAUGCCGCGUGUGUGAAGAAGGUCUUCGGAUUGUAAAGCACUUUAAGUUGGGAGGAAGGGUUGUAGAUUAAUACUCUGCAAUUUUGACGUUACCGACAGAAUAAGCACCGGCUAACUCUGUGCCAGCAGCCGCGGUAAUACAGAGGGUGCAAGCGUUAAUCGGAAUUACUGGGCGUAAAGCGCGCGUAGGUGGUUAGUUAAGUUGGAUGUGAAAUCCCCGGGCUCAACCUGGGAACUGCAUUCAAAACUGACUGACUAGAGUAUGGUAGAGGGUGGUGGAAUUUCCCUGUGUAGCGGUGAAAUGCGUAGAUAUAGGAAGGAACACCAGUGGCGAAGGCGACCACCUGGACUGAUACUGACACUGAGGUGCGAAAGCGUGGGGAGCAAAC